CGUGCCCUCUUUAGCAGCCUCUUCUCCCAAACUAGGAGGAACAAUGCUGCUCAAGUCUAAGUACAGAUAUAAUUUUUCGACCACAUCUCGGCUGUCCUCAUAUCCGACACAGUAGGAGACGAAUCCACCCUCGAGAAUCUCAUCCUUAAAUUCUUUCGAAUCUUUGAAGUUCUCGAUAGCUAGACUCAAGGCACCUCUCGCCGACUCAGCUUCAGCCUUCACAGAGGCCAACUCAACAUCGGCUAGUGCCAGUCUUUCCAU
This 261-nucleotide long non-coding RNA is filed under the name Elaeis guineensis (African oil palm). Its description in RNAcentral is "long non-coding RNA (EGUI_LNC051666)". The record is from RNAcentral. Lineage: Eukaryota; Viridiplantae; Streptophyta; Magnoliopsida; Arecales; Arecaceae.